UUCUCUGUCGGUGUCUCUCAGUGAACUCUUCUUCCUCGAUGUACAUCAUGAUUCAAGUUUGUUUGGAAGAUCCUUAUUUGAAAUCCAGACCAAAAGAGGAGAUUUUGUGUUUAUCAAAACAAUUCACUCUAUUCUAAGAGCCAAAUCGAUAUAAUCGAAAUAAAGUCAUGUUCAUAUACCUAUCUUCUCUAAUUGUAGAUCGACCAUCACCUGAGGAUAUUUCAAUGGCUUUGGUUGAAAAUUAGUUUUUGUAGACAUGUGAAUGGAGAUUCCCUUCAAACCUGCUCGGCUGAUUCUACAGGGCUCAACUGGUGUCCCUGCAGUUGUGUAAAUAGUUUGCAUGAGAGUAGCCACGGAUAAUGUCAAUGUUGAUUCUACUGCGUUCAAUCCCUUGGUUAGUGAACUUCAAGCUAUUCAUACUGAGAUUGAUUGAUAUUAUAUUUAUUUUAAAUUGGGGAUAUGUUUGUUUCAUGUAUGUAAACUAUGAUUCCGCUGUCAUGGAGAAUCUUCAAUAUUCAUGGAUUCAACUAUGGUCAAAAGCAAGAAAUAUAUUUAACCAUCAAAUGCCGUGAACAGAGGUAAAUGAUAUUCUAUAGUCCAGUAUAUGGCUGUGAUGAAACAUAGUGCAUGCGUAAAUGGAGUAAUACGUAUGGCAAAUUGGAGAGGAGAGUACUCAGGUAUUACGUACUUGUUAGUUUUAAUCCAUGUUCUAAAACGCGCCGUCGAGGACCGUAAAGUCGCCGAAAAAUCGUUAUCCGGCCAUCAACCGUGGCGAACUAAAGAAAUUCGCUGGAAAACUCGGAUCUCACAAAAAAUCUUAAGUUAUUGCUUGUUUCGGCCUAAGAAUCGACUAAUAUACA
Molecule: long non-coding RNA, 860 nt
Organism: Brassica oleracea var. oleracea
Lineage: Eukaryota; Viridiplantae; Streptophyta; Magnoliopsida; Brassicales; Brassicaceae
Exons: 5
Source: RefSeq, a predicted model, not a curated record